RNAcentral lists this long non-coding RNA (488 nucleotides) under Gallus gallus (chicken). The record is from RNAcentral. Lineage: Eukaryota; Metazoa; Chordata; Aves; Galliformes; Phasianidae.
ACUUGUUGCUGGAGGAUCUGCUGCAUUUGCUGGGGAGUGAUCACUUGAGGUGUCAUCAUAGCCACCGACACGGGAACCUGCAGGGCCGGCUGUUUGUCAUUCCUCUUCGGAGACUUUAAUCCACUAACUUGCUGCUGCUGCUGCUGUUGUUGCUGCUGUUGCUGCUGCUGCUGCUGCUGUAGUAGAAGUUGCCGUGCCACCUGGAGAGCCUGCUGUUGCUGAAGAUGUGUUAAAUCUGCAGCCCCAAUUUCAACUGAAGGUGUCUCGCCGUUUGAUCUCACCUCCCGUAGGCUGCACUCUAGUAAGUGGUUGCCACCGCUCGCUCCAUUCUGAAUGGCUGAACCGUUACUUUUUGUCUCAGUCCCAGAUUCUUGCAUCAUGACUCAAAAACCUUCUUCUGUUGCUCCUGUAAAGCAAUCUUCAGUUACAGCCACCCAAAUAGGUCACUCUUCUUACCCAGUUUUACUUGCAGGCAUCACACAUAUCCA